UAGUUCCUCCCCCUGCCUGUGAAGUCUGCAGGCCAGAUUCGCGCCCUCCCCUGAGUUCUGGCCAGGAGGCUUCUUGCCCUGUUCAAAUGGUUACAAAGUUCAGCUAGAGAAUUCCUUCUCCCUGUAGAGUUUUACCCCCUGCUCCUCUGGCCGCCCUCCGGAUGGAUCUUUGUGUUGCCAGGCAGGAAUGGGCUGCUUGGGGACCCAGUGAGCUCCGAGGGCCUUUCUGCUGCUUCCUGUACCCCUGUAUUUCGCUCAGCUCUCUGACUUGACUCAGCUCCAGGAGGAAUCUGCAUAGAUUAGACGAAAAAGUUAAAAGGAG
Molecule: long non-coding RNA, 322 nt
Filed under: Homo sapiens (human)
Lineage: Eukaryota; Metazoa; Chordata; Mammalia; Primates; Hominidae
Description: non-protein coding LINC01697:34
Source: RNAcentral